GUGGGGAAUAUUGCGACAAUGGGCGAAAGCCUGAUCCAGCCAUGCCGCGUGUGUGAAGAAGGUCUUCGGNUUGUAAAGCACUUUCAGUUGGGAGGAAGGGCAGUAGGUUAAUACUUUGCUGUUUUGACGUUACCGACAGAAUAAGCACCGGCUAACUCCGUGCCAGCAGCCGCGGUAAUACGGAGGGUGCAAGCGUUAAUCGGAAUUACUGGGCGUAAAGCGCGCGUAGGUGGUUCGUUAAGUCGGAUGUGAAAUCCCCGGGCUCAACCUGGGAACUGCAUUCAAAACUGGCGAGCUAGAGUAUGGUAGAGGGGGGUGGAAUUUCCGGUGUAGCGGUGAAAUGCGUAGAUAUCGGAAGGAACACCGGUGGCGAAGGCG
This 378-nucleotide ribosomal RNA is filed under the name gamma proteobacterium SCGC AAA044-J14. RNAcentral describes it as "bacterial SSU rRNA". It matches the Rfam family "Bacterial small subunit ribosomal RNA", at positions 354 to 723 of the family's 1533-position model. Lineage: Bacteria; Pseudomonadati; Pseudomonadota; Gammaproteobacteria. The record is from RNAcentral.